GUUUGAUCCUGGCUCAGAAUGAACGUUGGCGGCGUGGAUUAGGCAUGCAAGUCGAACGGGUCCGGUUCGCCGGACCAGUGGCGCAAGGGUGAGUAGGACGACGGCAACCAACCCCGAGGUCGGGCAUAGCCGCGGGAAACCGCGGGUAAUUCCCGGCGACGCGACGACGUCGGCAUCGACGUUUCGCCAAAGGCUCCGGCCGCCUCGGGACGGGCCGUCGCGGUAUUAGGUUGUUGGCGGGGUAACGGCCCACCAAGCCCGCGAUGCCUACCGGGCGUGCGAGCGCGGCCCGGCACACUGGGACUGAGACACUGCCCAGACUCCUACGGGAGGCUGCAGUCGAGAAUCUUCGGCAAUGGGCGCAAGCCUGACCGAGCGACGCCGCGUGGAGGAUGAAGGCCCUCGGGUUGUAAACUCCUGUCGAGGGGGAGGAAGGGGCAACCUUGACCGUAUCCCUGGAGGAAGCGCGGGCUAAGUUCGUGCCAGCAGCCGCGGUAAGACGAACCGCGCGAACGUUAUUCGGAAUUACUGGGCUUAAAGCGCGUGUAGGCGGAUCGGCGCGUCGGCGACUGAAAGCCCCCGGCUCAACCCGGGGAAGUGGAGCCGAAACGGCCGAUCUCGAGGGAUGGAGGGGGACCUGGAACUUCCGGUGGAGCGGUGAAAUGCGUUGAGAUCGGAAGGAACGCCGGCGGCGAAAGCGAGGUCCUGGACGUCCACUGACGCUGAGACGCGAAAGCUGGGGGAGCGAACGGGAUUAGAUACCCCGGUAGUCCCAGCCGUAAACGAUGAGCACUGGGUUGGGGGCCCACCGACGGGCUCCCAGCCGAAGGGAAACCGUGAAGUGCUCCGCCUGGGGAGUAUGGCCGCAAGGCUGAAACUCAAAGGAAUUGACGGGGGCUCACACAAGCGGUGGAGCAUGUGGCUUAAUUCGAGGCUACGCGAAAAACCUUAUCCCGGGCUUGACAUGUGGGGAUUAGCCGGCGGAAACGUCGGUGACGCCGCAAGGUGGAACCCAUGCAGGUGCUGCAUGGCUGUCGUCAGCUCGUGCCGUGAGGUGUUGGGUUAAGUCCCGUAACGAGCGAAACCCCUGCGACCAGUUGCCAGCGCGUCAUGGCGGGGACUCUGGUCGGACCGCCGGCGUCAAGCCGGAGGAAGGCGGGGACGACGUCAAGUCAUCAUGGCCCUUAUGCCCGGGGCCGCACACGUGCUACAAUGGGGCGGACAAAGCGUCGCCAGGCCGCAAGGCCGAGCCAAUCGCAAAAACCGUCCCUCAGUUCGGAUUGCGGGCUGCAACCCGCCCGCAUGAAGCUGGAAUCGCUAGUAAUCGCGGAUCAGCAUUGCCGCGGUGAAUGUGUUCCUGAGCCUUGUACACACCGCCCGU
Molecule: ribosomal RNA, 1381 nt
Filed under: uncultured bacterium
Lineage: Bacteria
Description: bacterial SSU rRNA
Rfam family: Bacterial small subunit ribosomal RNA
Source: RNAcentral